UGGGGCCUCUUGGCCACCUCAGAGGGCGGCCUUAUCCCUGUGGCAAAUCUCAGCUCUUCAGUCUGAUCCUGUUUCCUGUAGAGUUUUCUCAGUGUUUCUCAGAAGAAUGAAUUCCCAAUGGACUUUACUGCCUGUCUGGUCCAAUUCAGCCCCGAAGGCAAGAGCAGAGGUUUCUGGGAAGCCCGGCUUGCACUGCCACUAUGGAUCGGUGCAAUUUUGGGGAAGUCACUGGACUUGAGUUUCCUUCUCUUUCCAUUGACGGGGACAGGGAGAGAUGGCUGCUGAGAGCUCCCCUCCCUCUCUGAGCUCAACCGCUGUGUGUGGAGGGCUUUGUUCUGGGUCUCAGGCCGUUGGCUGGUCCCGGUUCCAUAUGCCUGGUGUGUGGGGGUGAGUGUGUUCCUAGCUGGAAGAAGGGGAAGCUUCAGGGGUUCAGCUAAUGUUGUGUGACUCUCUUCCAGGUUUUAUGUUGCUGAGCAAUCCUGAGUCACCAGGCUGUUUGCGUCGGGUGUUAAGGAACCCUUGGCUUCCGCUCUGCCCCCUCUCCCUGGGUCGCAAAAGCCGGAAGGGCUGGAAGAGAAGAGAACGUUGCUAAUAGUUUGGAAACUCCGGAAUCGCUUCGGGUCAAGGACCUUCAAGGAUUGGAACAUCUGGAAGACAGAACUCACAGGCAGAGGGGUGAUCUUUGGAAAUGCAAAUUAGCACCACCUUGUGAACUCCAGAUUGGUCCAAUUUAAAAGUUGGACCAGUAGUUAUCAUCGUGAUGAAUGUGUAACUUCGAUGCAACUUUUCCAGUCAAGCAAAUGGGCAAGUGGGAAAAAUCCUUGCAGAGCCCAGCUCUUAUGACACAAGGUCAGCAUCACAUCCCACAAGGUGAGUGGAGAUUUAGCAGGCCCCUUUAAAAGUCAUUACAGUAGUCAACUCCGUGAGAAAAUUUAGCACUCCAGCUUCUAGGACUAGAACUAACCCAGGGAGAAAAUCCAGUAUUCCGACUUCUAUAACUAAAAUCAACCCUGUGAAAAAAAAUUCAGUACUCCAAAUUCUAGAAUGGUAAUCAACUCAGUUAAAAAAAAUCAGUACUCCAACCUCUAGAACUAAAGCCAACCCACUGGAAAAAUCCAGAACUCCAAAUUCUGAAACUAUAAUCAACACAAUAAAAAAAGUUCAGUACUCCAAAUUCUAGAAUGGUAAUCAACUCAGUAAAAAAAAAAAAAAAAAAUUCAGUACUCCAACCUCUAGAACUAAAGCCAACCAAAUGGAAAAAUCCAGUGCUUCAAAUCCUGAUAAUAUAAUCAAUCCAAUAAUUAAAAAAAAAAAAAUCAGUACUCCAACUUCUAGAAUGGCAACAAGUCCAGCACAAAAAUUCUGCACUCCAAAUUCUAGGACUAUAAUCACAUUUUGAGCCUAGAGAUCUCCUUCUGCCUCUUUUGAAUUUAAGUGAAAAGCAGCAUAGCAAUUUCAAUUUCUUUUUGUGGAGCAUACGUUGUUUUUAUACAUGUGGAAUAAUUCAUUGAGGCUAUAAGUAGUAUUGAGUAAGCAUCCUGAGAAAACCUUGCUUUGAUGUCAUCUAGUCCCUCCUACCACCCUCCCUGCGCCCCCUCCACCCCAGUUCAUUUUUGUCAAAGUGAGUUUCCAUAUGUUUCAUCUAAAUGAGUCACAUUCAGAGAAAUCAUUCAAAUGAUCUAUGUGUGCAGCUAACUUUUUCAUUUGUGGGUGAUGAUCAAGAGUAGAAAAAAUGGUGCUUUCUUCUCCCAUCCCCAACUCCUUGGGCUUGCGCUGCUUCUCUGAGCAUUCUGAACCUUCAACUGUAUUCUACACCAGGGGGAAAUAGCCAUAGUCAUAUUGCGAAAAUUAUUCAAUUUCAGUCCACUUAAAGGGCCUUAAAGGGAGGCUGCACUCACGCCUUCUCAGGGGAUAGGCAGUGCAUGUUACCGUGGCUAAAGUGCUGGUUGAGAGGUUUUAAAUCAUAUUUGUAUCUUGGGACACUCACACUGGAGACAAUUGUCUUCCUAAGAAGAUGCACCAUCUGUGUCAUUGGUUGUGCAGGGCCCGGCAGGGGAGAACAGGGCCAGCUUCAGAGGUUAACAAGGACUGUCACUGCAUCCCACGCUCUCAACCUCAGGGAUGCGAUGGGUCUUGGAGUCUCCUCUUGCCUUCUGUUAGGUAACCAUGAAAUACAUACAUAUCUGCAUCCAAAUGAGGCAAUGCUUGAUCUUCUCUGUUGACUGAACUCAAGGCUCAGUUUGAUUUUCACCCUUCUUAUCAAGAGCUGGCUUCACGAAUGAGCAGUUAUGCAGCACGCACAUCUGGGUAGCUUCCAUACAGGAGGUGUGUUACUGACGCUUCCCCUACUCGACUGAUGCCUUCAAACGCAGGGGGACAUUACAGUUGUGGAUUUCACUGCUGCUUUGGUUCAAGGAUCACUGCGUUCUCUUGGAAAUGAUGCGCUGCUCUCCUUCCCACUUACCCCUACGGGCAUCAAGGCUGUUGGCUGACACUGAGACACCCAGCUGGCCAGCCCGUCUGCGAUCGGUAGCACUGGCCAGUCUUUCACAGAGAGCACCCACAGCCCAUCUCACGGACAGUUGACAGUCCCAGGAAAGGAAGAGAGGGAGACAGGAGGGAGGGACUUCCCUGUUGUGGGCAGUGCGAUGCACCCGGAUUCCCUCAAACUCAGCUCUCUAAAUGUUUCUGGCAUGGGAGACUCUGAAACCUUUCUCUGCAGACAAGGUGACUCUUGUUCUCUGUCUGUUUGGACAGCCACCCAGGUUGGCUUGGGUGGGAAUCUGUGUCCUGCUCUCUGGUCUUUCCCACUCAUUUCUUUGCUGGCUAGGCAUGAUUGUCUCAUCAACCAAUCAGCCAGCCAGUCCUCAGAAGGAAGAUGUAUUGCACCGGCCCAAGUGUUUUAAAGUUGAUUAGGAUUUUGUAUCAACAACAGCAUUUGGAAGUACAUGUGAGUCAUUGUGUCUGCUUAGAUUGUCAUUAUUUAUUUUUAUGUAUUUAUUUAUUAUUUUUGUAAAGAUUUAUUUAUUUGAAAGGCAGAGUUACAGAGAGGCAGAGAGAGAGAGAGAGAGAGAGAGAUAUCUUUCAUCUGCUGGUUUACUCCCCAACUCCCCAAGUGGCCUCAAUGGCCGGAACUGUGCUGAUCCGAAGCCAGAAGCCAGGAGCUUCUUCCAGGUCUCUGAUGCAGGUGCAGGGCCCAAGGACUUGGGCCAUCUUCUACUGCUUUCCCAGGCCAUGGUAGAGAGCUGGAUCGGAAGUGGAGCAGCCAGGACUUGAACUGUAGCCUAUAUGGGAUGCCAGCACUACGCCACAGUGCUGGCCCCCUGUAUUUAUUAUUUAGACUCUACCUAUUUCUAAAGCACCUUCAAAUGAGUUACAAUAAAAGAAACAGGAGUAAUUAGGCAUAUUUAAAAGGGACAAAAAGUUAAAGUAAUGUACGGAAGAAUGAGCCUAGGUUAAUAAUAGCUAUUACAGUUUUAUACUAAUUUUAGUAGUGGGUUCCUAGCAAUCAAAACUUUAAAAUGUUGGGAAAGACUUAACUUUUUUUUUUUAUAUCUAGAAGAAUACAUAUGAGUUCAUUUAGAGGUGAACUUUCUCCUUACAUCACUAACUUUUAAUUGAAACUUAUUACAUGGAUCUUGUAUAUAGGACAAGAUUGACAAAUGAACACUUUUAAUGGUGAUUUUUAAAAAAAUAUCUGAGUGGCAGAGAGACAGAGAGGGUGACAGAAAGAGAGAGAAAAAGGGGGAGGCAAAGAGGGAGGGGAGAGAGAGAGAGUAUUCACAUCUGUGGGUGCACUCCACGGAUGCCUGCAACACUCCAGACUGGGCUGAACUCACACCAGGAGCUGGGGGACCAGGUGCCCCACACAGGGGGAACAAACCCAGUUGCUUCAGCCAUUACUGUGGCCUCCCAGGGUGUGCAUUAGCAGGAAGCCCGAACCUGGGGCGGAGCUGAGUUGUGAAUCCAUGUGCUCUGAUACAAGGACUUGAGCCUCUUAAGUGACAUCUUAGCCAAGUACCCGCCGUGGUGGUGUUAUUUCCAAAGCUGUAGAAAUAUUCUUCACGCUUCUGCUUAUCACAGUGUGGAAAGAAGCCUGCUGGUCCACACUGGAGAAUUCAAGUUCACUUUAGCUUUAGGGUUUUACUUCCUCUGAACUGAGGUGUGGGCUGUUUGGCAGGACGCACGGUCACUUUGUCUUUGGCCAAGGUGGCUUAUGUCCCUGGCUCCUGGAAGAUUCAGGAAGUGCCUUUCCCUCCAGGGUGCGUUGCUACGGUUCUCUGGGUGUGUGGUUUAGCCUUCGUUGCUGAAACUGUUCACUUGGCUCACUCUCAGAGGUGCUUGGAAGAAGUGACCCCUUCACUGUUUAAGUCUGUCUGUCAAAAUCUCAGGUGACUUUCAGGGAUGCCCCCAGCCCUGGCAAAUACCUUUUGCACCUGUCUAAGAGAUUGGCCCCUUGUGACCCCAGAGAUCUUCGAGAUGUGUGCUAAUGCUGAGCCCAUAGGCUCCAACUCUUUCAGAAGCCUAGAACCAAGGGUUUGGAGAGACUCUCAGGAUUAGGCAUCCUUUCAUUUCACUGGUCAGUGCCGCAGCCAAUUUUGGUCACCUUUAGUGUUUGACAAAGGUGCGUCUCAUCAGUAAUAUCUAGACUAUUUUAAUUCUAAAAUUCUGCCUGGUGCAAUGACAUCACAGAUAGGUAACAGUGUAAAUCCUGACUUCAAAGGCUGACAAAUAGUUUUGAUGAAAGUGGCAAAUCGAGUCUGGCUCGCAGCCAUUUGUGCGGCAGGUGGAGAACCCAGACGGCCAAUGCCAAGUAUCAUUUCAGGCUGGCAGAACACUAAAGCAACAGAGCAUUUUACCUGGGAAGGCAAUACCUUCCCCGCCAGCACAGAACACAAGGAGGAAAUGAUAUCAGGGAUUAAAAACACAUGAAAAGCAUUUAAUAACUCUCAGAACAUAUGGAAAUUAAUGAUAUUCAGAGCUUGAAGGAGACUGAGAAUUUUCAGCUUAAAAUUAUCUUCCCUGCUGAUGCACAGUUCCUGGGGGGCUCCCAAAAUGCCACAGAGAAAACUCGAUGCAAGCAGCAGCAACAACAACAAAAAGUGAGAGCUCUUGAGAAUCAGGGUAUGGAGUGAGUGGAAAUAAGUGGAAUUAUUUGUAAAGAAUAAGUGAUAACGGAUUCACACCCCCGUUUUUCACUUCGCCAUCCUAACUGGCCUUGUACAGGAUUUCUUUAUUUGUAUGGAAGACUUUUACUAAUUUUACUUUGUUAUCUUUUAAGGCACAUUGCAUCUUUGAAAUAAUAUAGUCUCUGCAUCAGACAGAGACCCAGCAGCUAAAAUAACUUCUAUCAGAAGACUGCAUACCGCAGAGGGAACACUCUCUCAGUCUUAGGAGAUCCAAUAAGAAACGCAGAGUGGGAAGUUUAGCUCGCCUUCCAAGUCCAAUGCCACCAUACUGUUAGGUAGGAAGUCAGCUAUGAGCUUAUGUGUGUGUGACAUAAAGGCCUAAAGAGAAGACAUCUAUGUCCAGCAUAUGCAUCUGCAUCUCAGAGUCAUCCUGACAAUGUUUCAGGGGCAGCCCGGUAUUCGCAUCCUGCCCUGCCCCUUCUACCUGAUAACCUGCCAGGUGGAGGUCCCCGCCCCUUCUGCCAGACAAAUCUUCCACAAUCUCCCAGGUGUAGCCCAGUAUCUGCAUGUCAAACACCCUGCUCCGGAUCCCCAUUCUCUAGGGGGUCCUGCUCACCCUUCCUCUAAACUCAGGAUGGCGCCAGCGAUACCUUCAGGAGAAAACUCAGAUAGAAGUUUUUCUAUCUCCUUCACCCCCCCCCCCCCCCCCCC
Molecule: non-coding RNA, 5840 nt
Organism: Oryctolagus cuniculus (rabbit)
Lineage: Eukaryota; Metazoa; Chordata; Mammalia; Lagomorpha; Leporidae
Source: RefSeq, a predicted model, not a curated record